AUUUUGCUUUUUAGGGAUGCACCUGUGGCACAUGAAAAUUCCUGGGCUAGGGGUCAAAUGGGAGCUGUAGCUGCCGGCCACAAUAAUACCAGAUCAGGGCCAUGUCUGUGACCUACACCACAGCUCACAGCAACACCAGAUCCUUAACCCACUGAGUGAGGCCAGGGAGCAAACCUGGAUCCUCAUGGAUAUUAGUCGGGUUCUUAACCCACUGAGCCACAAUUGGAACUCCAAAAUAGUGGGGGUUUUGGGGAACUGUUAUUCAUAAUACUUUCCCCACAAUUUUUUUCUAUGAUUUAAUUUUUUACACUUUAGUUGAUUAUUCUAUCAUACUUCUCAGCAAUUAAGACACAUAUAAGAAUUAUUUAAAUUUGUUUCAGUUUCUCAUGACUAUGAGAAAUUAAAUAUUUUUUCUAGACCGAAACUUCACUACAAUGAUUAUGAGUACACAGCUAGGCAAAAAAAAAUGUAAAUAUAUUUUGUUUUGAUUAAUAAUUAUUAAACAUAAGAAGGAAAGUUUUUCUGGAAACCAUUUCUUCAUGAGGUUCCUUGGAAAGCCUUAGAGGCUUGAUUAAAGGAAGUAGCCCAGAUGACACUUUUGUGCUCCUCGGCCAUCUCUUCCUAGUAGAAUGGAAGCCCCAGGAGGAAAAAGUCUUUCCUGUUUUGUUCCCUGCUGCAGCUCAUCAUCUAGAACUGUGCCUGGCACAUAAUAGGCAUUUGAUACGUUGUCAAAGGAAAGUGUCUUUUGUUUGAAUCUCAGAGGCUUUUAUAUGGCAGGCAAUCCACAUUAGUAAGAUUUGGGAUGAGGGCAAAAGAAAGAAAGUGCCCCUAUUUUGUAGAGUGGGAGAAGGAUGCUGGGGAAAGGAGAUAUAGGAGAAGGUAAAUCUCCCAGAGCCCGGAUGAUUCUGAUGGAAGUCAGUUUCAGAAAAUCAUCAGUAGGGAAGUUGAGGACACAGAAUCGAUUCCCUUGACAUUUCAAUGCCCAAGAACUCCCUAUGAAGUUUUCACAUAUCUCCCUUGAUAGGCGAAGAUCUCCGGGCUUCGAAGAGGUCCUGCUAGGAGUUCUCUGGUGGCUCACAGGUUAAGGAUCCGGCAUUGCUGCUGUGGCGCAGGUUGGAUCCCUGGCCCCAGAACUUCCACGUGCCAUGAGUGUCACAAAAAAAAAAAUACGAUAUUGUUUUAAAAGAGAGAAGUGGGUGUGUCAGCAUCAGGAAGAAUAAGGAGAAAAGCUUCUUUGGAUUAGAAUCAUUUAAGGCUAAAAACUUCCCAAUCCUUUAAGGAUCCGGUGUUGCCAUGAGCUGUGGUGUAUGUUGAAGAUGCAGCUCAGAUCUGGCGUUGCUGUGGCUGUGGUGUAGGCUGCCAGCUGUAGCUCCCAUUCGACCCCUAGCCUGGGAACCUCCAUAUGCUGUGGGUGUGGCUCUAAAAAGACAAAAAUAAAAUAAAAAAUAAAAGCUUCCCAAUCCAGGAUCAAUCUAAAAAGUAAUGCUGGAAGAGAAAUGUAUGCAUUAACUAAUUCCACAAAAGAAAACCGAAGAGAGCAAAUGUGUGGAAGGACGUGGUUAUAUCUCAUCUGUCACCAUAUCAAACAUCUAAAAAGCCCCCAUCAGUGAAGAUAGAUUGAGCCAAGGUAGCCAAUCUUCUAGGAACUGUGCUACAAUUUAUCUUUAGUAAACCACAUCUCAGAAGCAAAAAGAAACCUUACGAUGCGCAUUGGGGAAGAAGAAAUGAUCCAAGAGAGAAAACAUGUUCUAUUUCCUGUUUUUCCAUAUUCCAAUUCAGUUUUUUUGAGGUCAAGGUUCACAAUUCAUCAUACAGUGAAGUGCCUCAAAUGAUUUCAGAUUCACUAUUCGGAAGCUAGAAAGAUGAACUGAAUUCAAUGUCUGGUUUUCACGGAGGAUAGAUAAAUCCUGAUCAACAGUUCACAUCAGAUGGUUUAACAGCCCGAGCUGGUCUUGCUUAACCAUCCUCUUCCUUUUCUCUAACCCCCAGACAUCAUCACGACACCCUAACCUACCAAAUCUCAAUGGCUUUUCAAAACUGCGUUAGCUUUUCCUCUCCCCUAACACACACACACACACACGCCUGAGAGCACACACACGUACACAUGCACUCAUGCACGCACACACUCACAGCUUAGGAAGACUGAAAAAAACCGAAGGCGUAUUUUCCAUAGCACUUCAGUUCUUGGUAAUGUGACUUCAAUAUAAAUGUUGACUCACAGGGAAACAGUAGCCAACUGGAAUUGCAGCUUUGAAAAAUGAAAUAAAAAAGCAAGAACUUAUCUGCAGAUACCCGUUCUUUUUCUGUGCUGCUACAAGGGUGUAGCCUCACCAUUGAGAUGGAACACAUCUUUUUGACAGCAUGCAGCAUCAUCAGGAAAUUCUCUAAUUCUAGAAGUUUUCUAAUUAAAGGUGCCAUGUGCACCAAGGAAGGCAAAACCAGGUCCAGCCCCAGAAGGUGUGACAGACACUAAUCCUCUCCGAAAUGCAUGAAGUGAAAAAGACCCCUCCAGCCUCUUCUCCUGCGCGCCUCCAGAAUAAAUGUCAGCACAAUCCAUGUCCUUUGCUGGAGACCUCCUACCCCCAAGCACGGGGUGUGUAACUGAACCUCUAAGCAGAGACAUAUGAUGAUGAUUUUCAACUUUGAUUAGGAGCUUUUGAAGAUAAUUGUCUCUUCCUGUUUCAUCCUCUAGAAAGAUCUCCCCUUCCUUAAUUUGGUCACAAAGUGGUUUUCUUUUAAAAGGACUAUUUUGACUUUCAGAAAACACACAAGAAGCAGCAGAGUAUUCACACACCGCAGAAAAUGGGCCCUCAGCUGCUAAUAAAUUGCAUUGUUCUCUAGUCUCCAACCCUUCUGCCAUCAAAAAAAAAAAAAAAAAAAAAAAAAAAAAAAAA
Molecule: long non-coding RNA, 2894 nt
Filed under: Sus scrofa (pig)
Lineage: Eukaryota; Metazoa; Chordata; Mammalia; Artiodactyla; Suidae
Description: lncRNA (ENSSSCG00065034170.1)
Source: RNAcentral